GUGAACCUGCGGAAGGAUCAUUACCUAGAGUUGCGGGCUUUGCCUGCCAUCUCUUACCCAUGUCUUUUGAGUACCUUACGUUUCCUCGGCGGGUCCGCCCGCCGACUGGACAAUUUAAACCACUUGCAGUUGCAAUCAGCGUCUGAAAAAACUUAAUAGUUACAACUUUCAACAACGGAUCUCUUGGUUCUGGCAUCGAUGAAGAACGCAGCGAAAUGCGAUAAGUAGUGUGAAUUGCAGAAUUCAGUGAAUCAUCGAAUCUUUGAACGCACAUUGCGCCCCUUGGUAUUCCAUGGGGCAUGCCUGUUCGAGCGUCAUUUGUACCUUCAAGCCUUGCUUGGUGUUGGGUGUUUGUCUCGCCUCUGCGCGUAGACUCGCCUCAAAACAAUUGGCAGCCGGCGUAUUGAUUUCGGAGCGCAGUACAUCUCGCGCUUUGCACUCAGAACGACGACGUCCAAAAGUACAUUUUUACACUCUUGACCUCGGAUCAGGUAGGGAUACCCGCUGAACUUAAGCAUAUCAAUAA
This 526-nucleotide ribosomal RNA is filed under the name Didymella bellidis. RNAcentral's name for it is "eukaryotic LSU rRNA". The stretch from base 164 to 317 matches the Rfam family "5.8S ribosomal RNA". The record is from RNAcentral. Lineage: Eukaryota; Fungi; Ascomycota; Dothideomycetes; Pleosporales; Didymellaceae.